Non-coding RNA from Onthophagus taurus, 343 nucleotides. NCBI's taxonomy places the organism in Eukaryota, Metazoa, Arthropoda, Insecta, Coleoptera, Scarabaeidae. The record is from RefSeq and is a predicted model, not a curated record.
AUAACAAAAAAUAAUAAUAAAACAGUUAAUUUUAAAACCGAUGUAGGAAGAAUAGGGGCACAUUAUGCGGAUAUUUUAAAUAAAUUAGUGAUAUAAUAGAAUAUAGGAGAGAAAACAGGUUUCGGACAAAGGAAUACAAUUGUUAUCUGACCUUGUAUGAAAAUUUCUCUUAGACUUGAUUCGUAAGCAUGAUAAGAUGUAUCGGAAUAAAUUUAAGAAACAAUUAGUGAUAAAAAUUGAUAAUAGUCUUAGAUAAGAGUAUUAUUAACCUGAUGAUGGGAACAUUUCCCGAAACGUCGUUAUAAUUGGAGUUUUAGAAAUAAAGGAGGGAAUGAUGUCACAA